UGGACCAAGAGACUGCCCAAGACAGUGAACACAACAAUUCUUCCUUGCCGAUUGAACCCUGGUACGGUAAGUAAUUUACAUCAUGGUACAAACUGGAACCAGUGCGCGCUCACGUGCAUCCGAACACCUAGAUAUCCGCAGCGGUGGCCGGUGGGCGGUGGCGCCUCCACCCCCUCACUUGCCGGGCACAAAGUUGGUGGCAUAGGCCCAUGCGUUGUUGUUGACGGGGUCGGCGAGGUGGUCGGCGAGGUUCUCGAGCGGGCCCUUGCCGGUGACGAUGGCCUGGACGAAGAACCCGAACAUGGAGAACAUGGCGAGGCGGCCGUUCUUGAGCUCCUUCACCUUGAGCUCCGCGAAGGCCUCAGGGUCGUCGGCGAGGAUGCUCUGCGCGUGGAUCAGGCUCGGGUUGCCGAGGUAGUCCAGCCCACCCUCGCUGAAGAUCUGCGACCCGGCCUUGAACCACACGGCCUCGCCGAACUUGACGCCGUUGCGGGCGAGCAGCUCCGGGAACACGCAGCCCAACGCGCCCAGCAUGGCCCAGCGGGAGUGGAUGACCUCCAGCUCCCGGUUCUUGGCGAACGUCUCCGGGUCCGCCGACAGCCCCGCGGUGUCCCAGCCGUAGUCGCCCGGGAACUCGCCCGUCAGGUAGCUCGGGGGCGCGCCGGACAGCGGGCCCAGGUAGAGCACGCGGUCGGGGCCGUACCACGGGCUGCCGGAGCUCGCCGCCGGCUUUGCCUUCGCCGCCGUCUUGCGCAUCGUCACGCGGGCCUCGCCGAAGAGAGACGACGGCACGUUCACUGCCUUGCCGGCGAAGGCUGUGGAGGAGAGGGCCAUGGUGCUGCUCGCCAUUGCGCUGCUUCUGCUUGCACUGGUUUUAUGUGAUGGCGAGGAGUGUGAAGACUUGAGAUGCUGUGGAGACGAGGAGACGACGGAGG
RNAcentral lists this unclassified non-coding RNA (935 nucleotides) under Zea mays. RNAcentral describes it as "misc RNA Zm00001eb343910". The record is from RNAcentral. Lineage: Eukaryota; Viridiplantae; Streptophyta; Magnoliopsida; Poales; Poaceae.